CAUCUGCCUGUUUUGGACAAUGGUGUUCAAGGUGACCAGGAGACACUUCAAAAUAACAUACAAGUGUUCCUCUGGAGGAAUUUCUGUGAUAUCCGAAAUGCACGAGGGAUAAAAUGGCAGACUGCCAGAGUGAUUAAUCAGUGGAAGCCAAGGACACAGAUUCAUGUGUGACUUGCACAAAAUCCAUGGAUGUAUCCAGCUGCCUUCAAGCAGAAGUAACCCCUGGGGGGAAAGGCAUGUCCCUACUGGUCACCCCAGAGACAGCUUUAAGCUGGUCCCAGCUCCCCUCUGUUGAGGUCUGUGCUUCCCAGGAGAAGGUUGGUUGCACCUCAGGCAAGAAAACCCCAAAGGCACAGGCUUUGCUGUGGGGAUUCCCUGCUGUGGAAGCCCUUCAGACACCAAUAUCUGUCUUCUUUCCUGUGUGGAAACUUAGGAAAGGGUUGAAAUAUAUCUGAGGGAAUUCUGCCAGAUAUUCAUGUAUCUACAUUUUCUACUCACUCAAGGGGAGCAGUGGUAACCAAUGUACUAAAAGUCUUCAAAUGCUGACAAAUACAAUUUAGCUUUGAAGGCUGCCAGCAAUUCUAUGGUAGUAAAUCCCAUUUGCAAUCAAAGGGUGAGUCAUUAGCCUUGACAUUUGAGAAAUGGAGAUUACUAUGAAUUUAUGAAAAAGGUUCCCUAAAAUGUUUCCUUAGCAACUGCUGCUGAGGAGCCUGGGGCAUCUCUCAGGUCCCCAGGCUCAGGAAAGCCAGCAGCAGUGGAGCAGAUGGUUUCCUAUCCACUUGCUGUAUGUAGUGCUAAGGGUUCACUAUCCCUUUCUGCUCAAGUCUUGUCUAAGUGAGGAAAAAAUGGUGUUUUCUUAUGUUCAGUUAUAUUUACUGAGCUGCCUUAAUGCUGCUGGAACUGUUGCAAUGGACACAGGUUAUUAUACAACUCAGAGGCCUGAACAGUAUCCCACACAAGGCUAUGAUCAACUUGGCCAGUUCCAAACAUGACCCCAACUGAAGUGAUAUGACAGCUUGUUACCACCAUGAAAAGCAUACCAUUUUAUUUUAAAAGGGUUUUGUUAAAAAAAAUAAAUUAGAGAAAGCUUACAGUUUUCCAUUUGUCCUCUGUUUCUGAAAUGCUCUUAAGUCCCUUACUCAAUCUUUUACUUAUAGCCGUGAGUUUUUCUUCUAGGUCCAGAAGACAGAGUAAUGAAGACCUUCCAUCUAUAGGGAAACAACAGAAUAUUUAUUGACCUGCUGUAAAAUCACAACCAUAGACAAUAUUAUGUAUUUUGUAAUUUACCUGGUAAAUUUAAUCUCAACAUAUUUUGUUUGGUUAAGCCAGAGAAAAGUACUGUUCUCUUAGUUAAAUAGGAUCCUUAGCUGGCUGCCACAUCAACAAAAAAUGUGAGAGACCUCAAGGGUUUUUCAGAUCCGAGUGAGACCAAUAAAAAACUUAACAGCUUCUAAAGAAAAGAUACUACUGCUGAUGUAACCCACAAUCCAAAUAUGAGCACAGUUCUUAGCAAUUCUACUGCAGAAUAUUUUCAGGGGAGUGGUUGCACUUCAUGACAUUCUUACAAAAAUAUGAAGAAUAUUAAUUUUUUUUUUUCCAAUGGAAAGAAAUCCUUUCUUUUCUGCUUUGUGAAACGAGACACUCCCCGUGUUUCUAUUGCUCCUGUGCUGCACAUCCACUGAGAAUGGCCUGUCAUUCUGCAAACUCUCAUGUAUUUUACAGAGUCAACAUUGCUAUUCAUCUCAUGCGACUGCAGCCAAUCUCGGCUGCCAGGUGAAACACGAUGUUGAAACAGAGAAACCGUCUCAAAGAAAUACAAGCUCUCAAAGCGUGAAUGGCUCUGUGGAUCAAAGAAGGCAUUUUGAAUUACACCUGGCAAUGGAGCAGAGCGCGGCCAAGGCCCCGGAGCGGGCGCAGGGUCGGAAGGAGGAGCGGUGGCGGGGCUGGCGGUCCCACCCUCGCCUGCUGAGGCUCUCGCAGGUCGGCUCUGAGCACAUCGGAGAUGAUUGGGAGCAGCUGCAAGCUGAGCCCAGUGCAGCGCUCCCAAUACAUUCCAGAUGAUGAAUAUGAUGCAGGCUUACUGGAAGAAAAAUAUAUUUCUGAAGAGAAAAACAAUUACUUCUCAAAGCAAGACAAUGAAGCUGAACCGAUGCUACAUGGGCAUAAAAUAGAACAGAACUUUCGGGCAAUGGCUUUAGCUCCUAAUAAAUCACCCACCUGGAGAUACUUUUGCAGAGUGAGCUUGGAUGUAUCAGACCCCAAAUAUUUUCAGAGGUAUAUAAAGUUGAAAAAUUAGGCAUUUAAACCUUUAUUUCUUCCCAAAGGGACAGAUACUUUGUUGUGUCAUAGCCUCCGAUUUUCAUGUUAGCAGAAAGGUGCCCUUGACAGUCCAAACAACACGUGAGGUGUCUCGUGGAAGUUAUGUAAAAAAGGCUUGGAAACACCACUCGAUACAGUGGGUUUCACUGGCUGAAUCUUCAGAGGGGACUUGAACGAAAUUUGCAAAAACAUGUCAAAAGUUAAGUGGCGAAAAUCAGCUUAAAUGCCUAAUUUUAAUUUUGUUUGUGCUCUUUGUUGUUUCAUUGUGGAGGGAGGGAAGAAGCUGUCUUUUUUCUCCCUGUCCUUUCAUUUUGUUUGGGAGAAAAUGGAUGUUGGUGAAAAGAAGAGAGCUCUGGCAGGGACUGGAAAGAGGUUGUUUAUUCUGUUUUGUUUUCUUUAGAAAGGGGCAACUCUUCUAAAACUGGUGAUGAUCCAGUUAAAGGGGGACUCCGGGUGGGGAAGAGAAAAGAAAACUAAUAAUCAGCCUCUAAAUGACAAGUUUUCUCUUGAACAAAAGAGCAACAGGAGGCAGUGCAGGCAGGGGGUCAGUGCCCAGGGGUAACGUGACCAAAACAAUGGCUGGAGAAUUUGUGCAGCUUUUGCCACUCCAGAAGCUGCUGCCCCAGUGCCUUCACUGAGGGCCUACAAGGAUCAAACCUGACCCAGUGCUGGGCAAGUGUGGUGCCACUUCUGGAGUCCUCCAAAGAGGAGGCAAUGACGGACUGUGAGAAAUGCAAGCAGGAAUUCAAGAAUUGAGAGGGAAGUGCCCCAGUUCUGAAUGACAGGUGUGAUUGAACAGCCCCAGCCAAUAAGGCAGAGCCCCUACCAGAAACAGGACUAAAGGUGGGGUUUAAAGUGACUUCAAUUAAAGAUGGAGACUGCUUGGCAGUGUCUGUGCUUCUCUUGCACUUGGUUAAUUUCCUGGUGGGGAAAGCCAGUGGUGCUGGAUAAACUGAAGUGAGAUGAUUUUAAACUGUUAUGAGUAUUCACGCAGAAGUUCAUUCUGGUUUAGACUAAAUUGGUUUUAAUUUCAAUUCAUGUAGCUUCUGCGUGGACGAGGCCUAUGGCUUGCCAUUUUGCAGCAAUGGUGAAUUUAUAGCAUAUGUGCUGCAAAUGGACUAUCAUGCAAAUUCUCCUGGUAUUUGCUCCAAGUCCAGUUCCAGCUGUCGGUGGAGAUGGAGGAGCAGAAUAGACCACUCACAUGGCCUCCCAUGUAAUGCAGAUUGGAUCUAUUGUCAGUCAGAUGGACUGGUGGUGUGGGAGCAGUGUGAAGCCAGUUCUUUCACUACAUGGUGUGUAAAGCAAUGAGGCAGACAAAAGCUGGAUUUAAAUUAAGGAAUAUUUCUGCCAAAUUUCGUUCUCUGAAGCAGAAAAAUAAAACACUUAAUGUGUCUGGCAAUGUUUAUUCUGUGCACAGGGUUUUAGCUGAUCAUAAAAGAAGAGCUACGUGUGAACAUUAUCUGGCAACUUCAUCAUAUUCUGAGGAGAUGGGAGAGUAUGAUUCCACCAUGGUCUGAAAAAGUAUUAGACUGAGAAAGGGGAAACAAUUUGGCAAGAAAAUAAGAUGGCAAGAGAAAAAGAAAAAAAAAUAGGUUCUUUCUGAUUAGGUAGGAAUUACCAGUUAUAAUCACAGCAAAAUCCUAUCUGCCACAAAGGCUCAAUUUUGAAAGUCCUUGAUGUCCUCAGCAUCCUGCUCAGCGGUCAGAAGUUUCCCAUUUUUCCUUCUUGCUGCUUAUUCAAAGUAUGGCAAGACCAGAAUGGUUGGAAAAUACAUGUGCUGCUCAUGCAGUAACUGCAUGUGCAUGAAAAUAAAAGAAUUCCUUGCCUGUGCACCAUGGGUAUCUGUACUGAUUAGAAGGCAGUAACUCCCAUUACAUGCAUAUUUGAAGACUUGGCCCUGAAUUCUACUGGUGAAGUAUUUUUCAUGACUUUUCCACUGUAUCUUCUUAGAGAUUUGUGUUCCAAUCAUCCAAUACCUUGACAGAAAUAGAAGACAAUGUUAAAAAUAAUCCAAAGAAAUAAUACUAGACCGUUUUUAAUUCCAAAUGAUUGAAAGAGCAAGUAUCAGCUAAUGUGAAUGAAAACAUAGUCGUGUAAUCCACGUAAGAAGAAUGUCAAGAAUAACAACUUUGUAACUGGAUUUGGAAAAAUAAACAAUUCUUUCCUUUUUUGCAUAAU
Molecule: long non-coding RNA, 4497 nt
Organism: Passer domesticus (house sparrow)
Lineage: Eukaryota; Metazoa; Chordata; Aves; Passeriformes; Passeridae
Exons: 3
Source: RefSeq, a predicted model, not a curated record